GACGUCAAAUCAUCAUGCCCCUUAUGACCUGGGCUACACACGUGCUACAAUGAAAUGGUACAAAGGGCAUCGAAGCCGCGAGGUGUAGCAAAUCCCAUAAAACCAUUCUCUUUUUUGAUUGCAGGCUGCAACUCGCCUGCAUGAAGCCGGAAUCGCUAGUAAUCGCGGAUCAGCAGGCCG
This 180-nucleotide ribosomal RNA is filed under the name Halobacillus sp. AGS-30. Its description in RNAcentral is "partial 16S ribosomal RNA". It matches the Rfam family "Bacterial small subunit ribosomal RNA", at positions 1181 to 1359 of the family's 1533-position model. Lineage: Bacteria; Bacillati; Bacillota; Bacilli; Caryophanales; Bacillaceae. The record is from RNAcentral.